GACGAACGCUGGCGGCGUGCCUAAUACAUGCAAGUAGAACGCUGAAGGAAGGAGCUUGCUCUUUCUGGAUGAGUUGCGAACGGGUGAGUAACGCGUAGGUAACCUGCCUGGUAGCGGGGGAUAACUAUUGGAAACGAUAGCUAAUACCGCAUAAAAUUGAUUAUUGCAUGAUAGUCAAUUAAAAGGUGCAACUGCACCACUACCAGAUGGACCUGCGUUGUAUUAGCUAGUUGGUGGGGUAACGGCUCACCAAGGCGACGAUACAUAGCCGACCUGAGAGGGUGAUCGGCAACACUGGGACUGAGACACGGCCAAGACUCCUAGGGGAGGCAGCAGUAGGGAAUCUUCGGAAAUGGACGGAAGUCUGACCGAGAAACGCGGCGUGAGUGAAGAAGGUUUUCGGAUCGUAAAGCUCUGUUGUAAGAGAAGAACGAGUGUGAGAGUGGAAAGUUCACACUGUGACGGUAUAUUAAGAGAAAGGGACGGCUAACUACG
This 495-nucleotide ribosomal RNA is filed under the name uncultured bacterium. Its description in RNAcentral is "partial 16S ribosomal RNA". It matches the Rfam family "Bacterial small subunit ribosomal RNA", at positions 28 to 505 of the family's 1533-position model. The record is from RNAcentral.